Molecule: ribosomal RNA, 117 nt
Filed under: Actinomycetota bacterium
Lineage: Bacteria; Bacillati; Actinomycetota
Source: RNAcentral
UCCGGUGACCAUGGCGAGGGGGAAACACCUCUUCCCAUUCCGAACAGAGAAGUUAAGCCCCUCAGCGCCGAUGGUACUGCACGGGGGACCGUGUGGGAGAGUAGGACGUCGCCGGGA